AGCGAACGCUGGCGGCAGGCUUAACACAUGCAAGUCGAACGGCAGCACAGUAAGAGCUUGCUCUUAUGGGUGGCGAGUGGCAGACGGGUGAGGAAUAUAUCGGAAUCUACUCUUUCGUGGGGGAUAACGUAGGGAAACUUACGCUAAUACAGCAUACGACCUACGGGUGAAAGCAGGGGAUCUUCGGACCUUGCGCGAUUGAAUGAGCCGAUGUCGGAUUGGCUAGUUGGCGGGGUAAAGGCCCACCAAGGCGAGGAUCCGUAGCUGGUCUGUGAGGAUGAUCGGCCGCACUGGAACGUGGACACGCACCAGGCUCCUGCGGUAGGGAGCAGUGGGGAAUGGUGGGCAGUGGGGGCGAGCCUUGUACAGCCGGAGCGCGUGGGUGGAGAAGACGUUGGGGUUGUAAAGCCCGUUUGUUGGGAAAGAAACGCAGCAGGUUAUUACGCAGCUUUUGUGACGGUACCCAAAGAAUAAGCACCGGCUAACUUCGUG
RNAcentral lists this ribosomal RNA (492 nucleotides) under uncultured bacterium. Its description in RNAcentral is "partial 16S ribosomal RNA". It matches the Rfam family "Bacterial small subunit ribosomal RNA", at positions 30 to 507 of the family's 1533-position model. The record is from RNAcentral.